AGUGGGGGAAUGUUUAUUUUUCGAGAAAUUUCUAUAAGAGACCGGAACUUUUACGAAUUUAUUACAUAACAACGAGUGAAAUAUAAAAUGCCCAUAAGUCAGGGGGCCAUUUAGAAUCGAAUCGAAGAGGAGACGGGACGAAGCUACCGCAGAUUCGGAAACGCCGCGGCCGCGCUUCCCCUCCCCGUCUAUUUCCCUGCCGACGACGCCUCCUCUUCGGCCGAACAGGCGGUUCCGGCCGGUUCUUCUUUCAGCGCCGACGGUUCAUCUGGUACUCUCUCUCUCUCUCUCUCUCUCGGUCGAUCGAGCUGAUUAGCUUGAUUGUUCUCUUCUUUCUCUAUUGAUGGAAAAGGAGAAAGGAUUGGAAGCCUUGAUGAGCAUGCUUCAGAACCGCCACUCAUUUGCCAUGACUCAGUAAUAGAAUCCACUUCUAGGCGUUUGAUGCCCUGGAAUUCCACAGUGCAAGUGGAAUUGGAGUUUGAAAAUUUAAGAAACGCACCUCCUGCAUCAAACACAUGGUUUCCUGCAGCCGCAUUCUUCUUCGCACCACCGAAGCUUCUUUGCGGCACCAUCUCAGUCCAAGCUUCUUUGCAGCACCGUGGCAGUCGAAGCUUAGAUCGAAACGGAAGUUGCUUGUUGAGACAACACCUCUUUUGGCUACCGAACAGGUGCCUGAGCAAUGAGGCGCGAAGGUAGUAGGGCUUAAGCUGUGGCGCCAUGGCCCUCGAGCGAGGUACUUUCCAAGACCUCCGUCCGUAUCGGUUUCUUUCCUUCUCCUUCCCUAACCCUAGCAACGCCACCGGUGGCCAUGGUCCCUCGUUACGGAUCGCUGUCCUCGAUUCUCCAUCCUGCGGCGGCACUUUUCCUCCUGCUGAUCCUACGGUCGCAGCAAUGCUGGUCCCGAUCGGCCGGGAGGACGAUUGGAUCUUCUCGACCGAGGCCGGGCACCAUCAGCUCCUCUCGUCUUCUCGCGUCUCCCGGUUGAUCCUCGUCGGAAAUCUUCCUCGCACAAAGGGGCGGAUUCCUUGGGUUAUCGCCCCGCCGGAGCAGGGUCCGUGCAUUGAGGCCUUCCAGACCAGCCUGGUUCCGCUUCUUCUAGCGUUGUCACCCCGGAUUCUCUUCCGCUGCGGCGUCGUUCCAUCUGUUCCCUUCCUCCAGUACGAGGAUGACGUGGUCGGCCUCUCCGUCGUCGAUGAAACCGUGGGUCCUGUCGUGGGAGAGAUGCUGAUUGAAGACGUGGAGGUGCUUCCGAGAGAGGGGUUGGUGAAGGGGCCUGGCGUUACGGAAUUCAGGAGGAGACUGAGGUUCAAAAGAAUGCCGAAUCUGGUUCAGACGGAGGUCCCUUUAAUCAAGGUUUCAGAUUCCAAGUCUUCAUUGCCCGAUCUUAGGCGUUUGGUGCAUCCGUAUCUUCCGCCCAUGGUUGCAGGCCUUUCUUUGGUGGCUCCACUUUUGGAAGAGUGCGGUGGAUCAGGUUCUCGCCCUCGUCUUCUUUGCAUAGGAGUUGGAGGUGGCGCAUUGCUGGGGUUCCUUCACGAGCAUUUUGAGUUUCACGUCAUUGGAGUUGAAAUGGACAAAGUGGUUCUGCAAAUUGCGGGGCAUCAUUUUGGGCUGGUUGAAAAUGAGUUUCAUAGGGCUUAUGUUGGCGAUGGGAUUGAAUGGCUGGUAGAUUUAGCUCAGCAGGCUGUCCAAUUCGGCCUGGCUUCUGAUGAUUUAGCAAAUCUUUGGAACCAAUUGAAUGUUUCAGAGUUGGGGUUCGGAGGAGAGAACCUUUCCAGCUUGAAAGAUGGAGCUCUUGGUUGCACAAAGAGAGAAUCCUUUGUAUCAGGAAGCUGCCCACUAAGGGCUGGCGUUGACGGAUCAUUGGUUCACGUAAUUCUCAUAGACGUGGACUCCAAUGAUGCUAGAACUGGACUGAGCGCUCCACCAGUGGAAUUUGUUAGAGAGAGAGUGGUUCUAGCUUGCAGGCUAGCUCUUCAUAGUCGUGGAAUCUUGGUGAUAAAUGUUAUCCCGCCAAGCAAGUGCUUCUAUAACAACAUGGUGUCUGUCUUCAAAAAAUUCUUCUUGGAACUGUAUGAAAUAGAGGUGGGUAAUGGUGAAAAUUAUGUGCUUAUUGCAGCUGCUUCAUUUAUGGAUUCCGUUGAUGAAGAUAGUUUUAUCUCAAAGAAGCUAAGACAAAUCAUAGACAACCAGUUCUUUGACCAAAUACGAAAGAUCUGAAGCCAAAUGGGAAACUGCUGUCACUUGCAAGCUGCUUAGGGAGAGUGAAAUGUGGAUUGGGAGUUGAAGAAAGCUUCAAGCUAAUUUUUUGGUCAAGCAGGGAUUUGGUUUAUUUCAAUCGCUGUAAGGCUGAAAUAUUGAAAGGGUUCAGCUGCAGCAUGGGAUUCUCACAUUUGCUGAUUGCCGUGGUGCUGAAACUGACUAACCUUCAUGAUAUACUUAAUAACUCCUGACAAGAUGACUAUGUACGUAUGAAGGGAUUUUAUUUGAGGAAAGAUGGUCAAAGUUGGGCUUUUAUUUCUAAGCAGCUCUUUGUGGUGGUAACACUAGCCUUAGAUUUAAGUGGAGUGAUGUUAUAUCACAUUUCAAGGUGAAUUGCUUAUCUGGCUUCAGACACUAAUUCAUGAUGAACCUGAACAAGAGUUUCAAACACUUCUCUCCCUGCCACCAUAAAUUCCAAUUUUGGGCAACAGAGAAUAAGCUUCAGAACAGCCAUGCGAGCCUUGUGUAUUUCAAAGUUAAAUGUAUGUGUUGAUUCUUUACAACAUCUGUACAGAUUAACUGUAAAGAGCUUGCAAAGUCUUCACAAGAAGUUUCAAAGUUUGCAACUGUUGCACUGGUAGAUGUUGAUUCUGAGGAGAUCCAAUCUUUGUUAAAUAUUUUGACAUCAAAUGAUACCAUCUACUAUCUUUUUCUUCAAUGCA
RNA transcript from Nymphaea colorata (pocket water lily), 2921 nucleotides. RefSeq lists it as uncharacterized. The record is from RefSeq and is a predicted model, not a curated record. NCBI's taxonomy places the organism in Eukaryota, Viridiplantae, Streptophyta, Magnoliopsida, Nymphaeales, Nymphaeaceae. The transcript has 2 exons.